Molecule: ribosomal RNA, 475 nt
Filed under: uncultured bacterium
Lineage: Bacteria
Description: bacterial SSU rRNA
Rfam family: Bacterial small subunit ribosomal RNA
Source: RNAcentral
GACGAACGCUGGCGGCGUGCCUAACACAUGCAAGUCGAACGAGGUCCAUCCUUCGGGAGAAGACCUAGUGGCGAACGGGUGAGUAACACGUGAAGAACCUGCCCCGAAGACCGGGAUAACCCUCCGAAAGGAGAGCCAAUACCGGAUACCCCCACCGAACCGCAUGGUUUGGUGAGGAAAUGGAUUCCGCUUCGGGAGGGCUUCGCGGCCUAUCAGCUAGUUGGUGGGGUAACGGCCCACCAAGGCAUCGACGGGUAGCUGGUCUGAGAGGACGAUCAGCCACACUGGGACUGAGACACGGCCCAGACUCCUACGGGAGGCAGCAGUGGGGAAUCUUGCGCAAUGGGCGAAAGCCUGACGCAGCAACGCCGCGUGGGGGAUGAAGGCUCUCGGGUUGGUAAACCCCCUUUCAGCAGGGACGAAUCAAGACGGUACCUGCAGAAGAAGACCCCGGCUAACUACGUGCCAGCAGCCG